Small nucleolar RNA from Acomys russatus (golden spiny mouse), 127 nucleotides. RefSeq annotates it as small nucleolar RNA SNORA17. Lineage: Eukaryota; Metazoa; Chordata; Mammalia; Rodentia; Muridae. The record is from RefSeq and is a predicted model, not a curated record. The transcript has a single exon.
ACUGCUCCUAACAGUGUUGCAGGUCUGGCUACUGUGUCACAUCUGCAUAAGUAGGUAGCAGAGAGGAGAGAGGCUAUGUUUAAGCUCUGUGCUCUGACCUAAUCUGAAUGAUUAGUAGCCUGACAUU